AGCAGCCGCGGUAAUUCCAGCUCCAAUAGCGUAUAUUAAAGUUGUUGCAGUUAAAAAGCUCGUAGUUGAAUUUCGGGAUCAAUGUUUCGGUCAUGCCGUUGGUAUGUACUGAUAUUAUUGAUUUCUCACCUUCUAAAGAACCGUAAUGCCAUUAAUUUGGUGUCACGGGGAAUUAGGACUGUUACCUUGAAAAAAUUAGAGUGUUUAAAGCAGGCUCACGCUUGAAUACAUUAGCAUGGAAUAAUGAAAUAGGACAUCCGAUUCUAUUUUGUUGGUUUCUAGGAUCGAUGUAAUGAUUAAUAGGGAUAGUUGGGGGCAUUAGUAUUCAAUUGUCAGAGGUGAAAUUCUUGGAUUUAUUGAAGACUAACUACUGCGAAAGCACUUGCCAAGGAUGUUUUCAUUAAUCAAGAACGAAAGUUAGGGGAUCGAAGACGAUCAGAUACCGUCGUAGUCUUAACCAUAAACUAUGCCGACUAGGGAUCGGAUGAUGUUAAUUUUUUAAUGACUC
This 508-nucleotide ribosomal RNA is filed under the name uncultured Glomeromycotina. RNAcentral's name for it is "SSU rRNA". It matches the Rfam family "Eukaryotic small subunit ribosomal RNA", at positions 569 to 1077 of the family's 1831-position model. The record is from RNAcentral. Lineage: Eukaryota; Fungi; Glomeromycota.